GCACAAGCGGUGGAUGAUGUGGUUUAAUUCGAUGCAACGCGAAAAACCUUACCCACCUUUGACAUGGCAGGAAUCCCGAAGAGAUUUGGGAGUGCUCGAAAGAGAACCUGCACACAGGUGCUGCAUGGCUGUCGUCAGCUCGUGUCGUGAGAUGUUGGGUUAAGUCCCGCAACGAGCGCAACCCUUGCCAUUAGUUGCUACGAAAGGGCACUCUAAUGGGACUGCCGGUGACAAACCGGAGGAAGGUGGGGAUGACGUCAAGUCCUCAUGGCCCUUAUAGGUGGGGCUACACACGUCAUACAAUGGCCGGUACAGAGGGUAGCCAACCCGCGAGGGGGAGCCAAUCCCACAAAGCCGGUCGUAGUCCGGAUCGCAGUCUGCAACUCGACUGCGUGAAGUCGGAAUCGCUAGUAAUCGCGGAUCAGCAUGUCGCGGUGAAUACGUUCCCGGGUCUU
This 455-nucleotide ribosomal RNA is filed under the name uncultured Allobrachymonas sp. RNAcentral describes it as "bacterial SSU rRNA". It matches the Rfam family "Bacterial small subunit ribosomal RNA", at positions 923 to 1382 of the family's 1533-position model. The record is from RNAcentral. Lineage: Bacteria; Pseudomonadati; Pseudomonadota; Betaproteobacteria; Burkholderiales; Comamonadaceae.